CCAUUAGAUGCUCUGGGCCGCACGUGCGCUACACUGGUCUUCGCAAACGGAUGCAUUCUCGAAGGAGAAUGCCAAUCUUGGAAUCUAUGCCUUGGUCGGGACAGUUGCUUGCAAUUUUUCGACUCGAACCAGGAAUUCCUUGUAAUCGUGAUUCAUCACAUCACGAUGAAUACGUCCCUGCCCUUUGUACACACCGCCCGUCGCUCCUACCGAUCGAAGAGUUAGGUGAAUUGUUUUGAUCGAUAAGAUUUGACUAUGGUCAACUCUCGUUGUGAAAUUCUGUGAAUCUGACUGUUUAGAGGAAGGAAAAGUCGUAACA
Molecule: ribosomal RNA, 319 nt
Filed under: uncultured eukaryote
Lineage: Eukaryota
Description: partial 18S ribosomal RNA
Rfam family: Eukaryotic small subunit ribosomal RNA
Source: RNAcentral